UACGUAGGGUGCGGGCGUUGUCCGGAAUUAUUGGGCGUAAAGAGCUUGUAGGCGGUUUGUCGCGUCUGCUGUGAAAAUCCGGGGCUCAACCCCGGACUUGCAGUGGGUACGGGCAGGCUAGAGUGUGGUAGGGGAGACUGGAAUUCCUGGUGUAGCGGUGAAAUGCGCAGAUAUCGGAAGGAACAUCAGUGGCGAAAGCGGCUUCCUGGUCCAGCACCGACGUUCAGGCACGAAAGCGUGGGGAGCAAACAGG
RNAcentral lists this ribosomal RNA (253 nucleotides) under uncultured bacterium. RNAcentral's name for it is "partial 16S ribosomal RNA". It matches the Rfam family "Bacterial small subunit ribosomal RNA", at positions 524 to 776 of the family's 1533-position model. The record is from RNAcentral.